RNAcentral lists this ribosomal RNA (586 nucleotides) under uncultured bacterium. RNAcentral describes it as "bacterial SSU rRNA". It matches the Rfam family "Bacterial small subunit ribosomal RNA", at positions 338 to 948 of the family's 1533-position model. The record is from RNAcentral.
CCUACGGGAGGCAGCAGUGGGGAAUAUUGCACAAUGGGGGAAACCCUGAUGCAGCGAUGCCGCGUGGAGGAAGAAGGUUUUCGGAUUGUAAACUCCUGUCUUAAAGGACGAUAAUGACGGUACUUUAGGAGGAAGCUCCGGCUAACUACGUGCCAGCAGCCGCGGUAAUACGUAGGGAGCGAGCGUUGUCCGGAAUUACUGGGUGUAAAGGGAGCGUAGGCGGGAGUGCAAGUCAGGUGUGAAAACUAUGGGCUCAACCCAUAGACUGCACUUGAAACUGCAUUUCUGAGUGAAGUAGAGGUGAGCGGAAUUCCUGGUGUAGCGGUGAAAUGCGUAGAUAUCAGGAGGAACACCGGUGGCGAAGGCGGCUUACUGGGCUUUUACUGACGCUGAGGCUCGAAAGCGUGGGGAGCAAACAGGAUUAGAUACCCUGGUAGUCCACGCUGUAAACGAUGAUUACUAGGUGUGGGGGACUGACCCUUCCGUGCCGCAGUUAACACAAUAAGUAAUCCACCUGGGAGUACGGCGCAAGGUUGAAACUCAAAGGAAUUGAACGGCNGAGACGNGCGAGACGACACGAGGAGAG